UAGGGAAUCUUCCACAAUGGACGCAAGUCUGAUGGAGCAACGCCGCGUGAGUGAAGAAGGUCUUCGGAUCGUAAAACUCUGUUGUUAGAGAAGAACACGAGUGAGAGUAACUGUUCAUUCGAUGACGGUAUCUAACCAGCAAGUCACGGCUAACUACGUGCCAGCAGCCGCGGUAAUACGUAGGUGGCAAGCGUUGUCCGGAUUUAUUGGGCGUAAAGGGAACGCAAGCGGUCUUUUAAGUCUGAUGUGAAAGCCUUCGGCUUAACCGGAGUAGUGCAUUGGAAACUGGAAGACUUGAGUGCAGAAGAGGAGAGUGGAACUCCAUGUGUAGCGGUGAAAUGCGUAGAUAUAUGGAAGAACACCAGUGGCGAAAGCGGCUCUCUGGUCUGUAACUGACGCUGAGGUUCGAAAGCGUGGGUAGCAAACAGGAUUAGAUACCCUGGUAGUCCACGCCGUAAACGAUGAAUGCUAGGUGUUGGAGGGUUUCCGCCCUUCAGUGCCGCAGCUAACGCAAUAAGCAUUCCGCCUGGGGAGUACGACCGCAAGGUUG
RNAcentral lists this ribosomal RNA (550 nucleotides) under uncultured bacterium. RNAcentral's name for it is "bacterial SSU rRNA". It matches the Rfam family "Bacterial small subunit ribosomal RNA", at positions 355 to 896 of the family's 1533-position model. The record is from RNAcentral.